This 479-nucleotide ribosomal RNA is filed under the name uncultured bacterium. RNAcentral describes it as "bacterial SSU rRNA". It matches the Rfam family "Bacterial small subunit ribosomal RNA", at positions 28 to 507 of the family's 1533-position model. The record is from RNAcentral.
GAUGAACGCUGGCGGCGUGCCUAACACAUGCAAGUCGAGCGUGAACCGUCUGAAUGAAACUUCGGUCGAGUGAGGAUGGGGAAAGCGGCGGACGGGUGAGUAACGCGUAGGCAACCUUCCCGUACAGAGGGAUAGCCUCGGGAAACCGGGAUUAAGACCUCAUAAUACCAUUAUCUCACAUGUGAUAAUGGUCAAAGAUUUUAUCGGUAUGGGAUGGGCCUGCGUCUGAUUAGCUGGUUGGUGGGGUAACGGCUCACCAAGGCGACGAUCAGUAGCCGACCUGAGAGGGUAAUCGGCCACAUUGGAACUGAGACACGGUCCAAACUCCUACGGGAGGCAGCAGUGGGGAAUAUUGCACAAUGGGCGAAAGCCUGAUGCAGCAACGCCGCGUGAGCGAGGAAGGCCUUUGGGUCGUAAAGCUCUGUCGAGGAGGAAGAUAAUGACGGUACUCCUCGAGGAAGCCCCGGCUAACCUACGUG